GUUGUCGUCGACUUUUCAGCAAAAUGGUGUGGGCCCUGUAAAAUGAUUCGUCCUUUUGUUUACGAAUUUGCUGUUCGGUAUGAAAAUGUACAGUUCUGCAUUGUUGAUGUGGAUGCGGCAGAGGAUGUGGCUAACUAUUGCAGUAUCAUCGCCAUGCCAACAUUUCAGCUGUACAAGAAAGAACAGAAG
This is a long non-coding RNA of Gekko japonicus, 189 nucleotides long. RefSeq lists it as uncharacterized. The transcript has 3 exons. Lineage: Eukaryota; Metazoa; Chordata; Lepidosauria; Squamata; Gekkonidae. The record is from RefSeq and is a predicted model, not a curated record.